RNAcentral lists this ribosomal RNA (469 nucleotides) under uncultured bacterium. RNAcentral's name for it is "partial 16S ribosomal RNA". It matches the Rfam family "Bacterial small subunit ribosomal RNA", at positions 28 to 507 of the family's 1533-position model. The record is from RNAcentral.
GACGAACGCUGGCGGCGGGCUUAACACAUGCAAGUCGAACGGAAAGGCCCUGCUUGCAUGGUGCUCGAGUUGCCAACGGGCGGGUAACACGUGGGUGAUCUGCCCCUUACUUUUGCAUAAGCCUUGGAAACUGGGUCUUAUACUUGAUAGGACCUUGCUGCUAGUGGUGUGGUCGGGAGAUUUUCUUCGGUAGGGGAUGAGCGCGGGGCGUAUCAGCUUGUUGGUGGGGUAAUGGCCUACCAAGGCGUCGACGGCUAGCCGGCCAGAGUGGGUGGACGGCCCGAUUGAGACUGCGACGCGGCCCAGACGCCUACGGGAGGCGGCAGUGGGGGAUAUUGCGAAAUAGGCGCAAGGCGGAGGCAGCGACGGCGCGUGGGUGAUGAAGGCCUUCGGGUUGGAAACACCUGCAGGACAUGACGAAGCCCUUGUGGUGACGGUAGUGAAAGAAGAAGCACCGGCUAACUACGUG